GACCUUUUCCUGCUUAGACCUGCCGAAGGUUGAUCACCAGCCACCAUUGCCGAACGGCAAGGGCCGUGGAUAAAUUGGAGGAAGGCUCACGGAAGAUCAGAGCUCCAAUUCUCCGUCUUGCCGAAGCAAGCCCACUUACAACAGCAACUCCAAACCUGCCGAAGAUGUGCUACCGAACGGCAGGUCCUGUGGAGAUCCUUGACCUUGCCGAAACUUUGCCAAACCCUCCCAAUCCACCCUUGCCGAACGGCAAGGGUUGAGCAGAUCCAAUUGAGAUCCUCGCCUCUAUGCCAACUCCUCACCGCAGCCAAGGACAAUGAAGAGGCCCCCGAAAUUUUCCAAAGGACCUUGCCGAACGGCAAAGGUUGUGGGGCACAAGUACACGGCUUAGCAAACG
This 397-nucleotide long non-coding RNA is filed under the name Prunus persica (peach). RNAcentral's name for it is "long non-coding RNA (PPER_LNC006057)". The record is from RNAcentral. Lineage: Eukaryota; Viridiplantae; Streptophyta; Magnoliopsida; Rosales; Rosaceae.